Oncorhynchus kisutch (coho salmon) is the source of this 2823-nucleotide RNA transcript. It is a transcript of the gene named ATP-dependent 6-phosphofructokinase, muscle type-like, with no coding region annotated. Lineage: Eukaryota; Metazoa; Chordata; Actinopteri; Salmoniformes; Salmonidae. The transcript has 21 exons. The record is from RefSeq and is a predicted model, not a curated record.
AUUCUCUCUCUGAGUUGCAGGGUAUCCGCCAUAGGAGAGUAUCAGCCAUAGGAGAGUAUCAGCCAUAGGAGAGUAUCAGCCAUAGCCGUCUCCUUUCCUUCCUUAGUGCCACCACCUGGUUGGAGUUGAGCCCUGUAGACACCAUGUCACAUACAAGCAUGGAUCCAACCAAGAUGGGUAUCGGCCGGUCUGUCGCCGUGCUGACCUCAGGAGGUGAUGCCCAAGGUAUGAACGCGGCUGUGAGGGCCACAGUCAGAGUUGGUCUCUACACUGGAGCCAAAGUCUACUUUGUUCAUGAGGGUUACCAGGGUCUGGUGGACGGAGGAGACAACAUCAAACUGGCCACCUGGGAGAGUGUGUCCAUGAUGCUGCAACUGGGUGGCACGGUCAUCGGCAGUGCCCGCUGCAUGGACUUCAGAGCCAGGGAGGGCCGCAUGAAGGCUGCCCUGAACUUGGUCAAGCUGGGUAUCACCAACCUGUGUGUGAUCGGGGGUGAUGGUAGUCUAACCGGAGCUAACCAGUUCAGGACGGAGUGGUCCACUCUGCUGGUCGACCUGGUCAAAGCCGGUAAGAUCAGUGAUGACGAGGCCAAGACGUCGUCCCACCUCAACAUAGUAGGCAUGGUGGGUUCUAUCGACAAUGACUUCUGUGGCACAGACAUGACCAUCGGGACAGACUCCGCCCUCCACCGCAUCAUAGAGGUGGUGGAUGCCAUCACCACGACCGCACAGAGUCACCAGAGGACCUUCAUCCUGGAGGUGAUGGGUAGACACUGUGGCUACUUGGCCCUGGUGACUGCUCUGGCCUGCGGUGCUGACUGGGUGUUCAUCCCAGAGAUGCCCCCAGAUGAGGGAUGGGAGGGGCAUCUGUGCAGAAGACUGGCUGAUCAAAGGGCCAGAGGAUGUCGUCUGAAUGUGAUCAUUGUGGCAGAGGGAGCUAUGGGCAGAGAUGGAAAACCCAUUGGCUCUGAAGACAUCAAGAAGUUGGUGGAGAAGAAUUUGGGCUUUGACACCCGUACCACUGUCCUGGGACACGUGCAGAGAGGCGGUACCCCCCCUCCGCCUUCGACAGAAUCCUGGGCAGCAGGAUGGGUGUGGAGGCUGUGAUGGCCCUGUUGGAGGCCACUCCAGAGACCCCGGCCUGUGUGGUCAGUCUGUCCGGUAACCAGGCUGUCAGGCUGCCCCUCAUGGAGUGUGUCCAAGUGACUAAGGAUGUGACUACUGCCAUGGCUGAGAAUAGAUGGGAGGAUGCUAUCAAGCUCAGAGGAAAGAGCUUUGAAAACAACUGGAACACAUACAAGAUGCUAGCCCACAUCAACCCUCCAGAUACCAAGAGCAACAUUAAUGUGGCCAUAGUUAACGUCGGUGCCCCCUGUGCUGGUAUGAAUGCCGCCGUGCGUUCUGCAGUGAGGAUUGGAAUCAUUCAGGGACACAAUAUGCUGGCCGUUCAUGACGGGUUUGAGGGUCUCGCUCACGGAAAUAUCGUGCCCAUCACCUGGACAGGAGUGUCAGGCUGGACUGGGAAGGGAGGCUCUGAGUUGGGCACCAAGAGAGUCCUGCCUUCCAAGUACAUUGAGGAAAUCAGCUUGACUAUUGCUAAGUUCAAUAUCCACUCUCUGGUAAUAAUUGGAGGGUUUGAGGCGUUUAUGGGUGGUCUGGAGCUGGUGACAGCCAGGGAGAAGUAUGAGGAGCUGUGCAUUCCCAUGGUGGUCAUCCCCGCCACCGUCUCCAACAACGUACCCGGCUCCGACUUCAGCAUUGGAGCUGACACCGCCCUCAACACCAUCACCUCGACCUGUGACAGGAUCAAGCAGUCAGCAGCAGGCACCAAGCGUCGUGUGUUCAUCAUUGAGACCAUGGGAGGGUACUGUGGUUACCUGGCUACCAUGGCAGGUCUGGCUGCAGGGGCGGAUGCUGCUUACAUCUAUGAGGACAAGUUUGGAAUCAGGGACCUCGAGAUGAACGUAGAGCAUCUCGUGCAGAAGAUGAAGACAGACGUGAAGAGAGGUUUGAUUCUCAGGAAUGAGAAAUGCAAUGCCAACUACACUACAGACUUCAUCUUCGCCCUCUAUUCUGAGGAGGGCAAAGGUGUCUUCGACUGCCGCAAGAACAUCCUGGGACACAUGCAACAGGGCGGAACCCCGACACCUUUCGACAGGAACUUUGGUACAAAGAUGGGCUCCAAGGCUGUUCUGUGGCUCACAGAGAAACUCAAGGAGACGUACAGACAUGGUCGUAUCUUUGCUAACACCCCAGACUCUGCCUGUGUGCUGGGCAUGAGGAAGAGAGCACUGACCUUCCAGCCGUUGGCUGAGCUUAAUGAACAGACAGACUUCGAGCACCGCAUCCCCAAGACAUCGUGGUGGCUGAAGCUGAGGCCCAUCAUGAAGAUCUUGGCUAAAUACAAUAUCAGCCUGGACACAUCUGAGCAUGCCCACAUGGAACAUGUGAUCAAGAAGAGGGUGUCGAUGCCCGCACCACUGAUGAAGGAGCACAAGGAGGAGGUAGAGGAGGAAGAAGAAUAGGGGGAAGAGGAGGAGCAAGAAGAGGGGGAGGAGGAAGAGGAAGAAGAGUCAAUUAUUUUUAUUAAAUGUAUGCGUGUUUUACAUGUAUGUUAGUUUUACAUGUAUGUUUCUGGAUUAAUUAAUCAUCUGAACCAGAGUUACAUUAUUUUGUGCCCGUUGUUUCCUUUCUGAUCUCCUUGGUCUUCUCAACAAUUCUUUCUCACAUACUCUUUCUUCGCGUCUUAAUCAGUUAACCUGGUGGGCUGCCCUGCUCUGGGAGCCAGUUUUGCCUUUCUUCAAGAAUUAAACACUUGUUACUA